This 372-nucleotide ribosomal RNA is filed under the name uncultured organism. RNAcentral describes it as "bacterial SSU rRNA". It matches the Rfam family "Bacterial small subunit ribosomal RNA", at positions 526 to 896 of the family's 1533-position model. The record is from RNAcentral.
CGUAGGGUGCGAGCGUUAAUCGGAAUUACUGGGCGUAAAGCGUGCGCAGGCGGUUUGUUAAGAUAGGCGUGAAAUCCCCGGGCUCAACCUGGGAACUGCGCUUAUGACUGGCAAGCUAGAGUACGGCAGAGGGGGGUGGAAUUCCACGUGUAACAGUGAAAUGCGUAGAGAUGUGGAGGAACACCAAUGGCGAAGGCAGCCCCCUGGGUCGAUACUGACGCUCAUGCACGAAAGCGUGGGUAGCAAACAGGAUUAGAUACCCUGGUAGUCCACGCCCUAAACGAUGUCAACUAGGUGUUGGGAGGGUAAAACCUUUUAGUACCGGAGCUAACGCGUGAAGUUGACCGCCUGGGGAGUACGGCCGCAAGGUUA